Molecule: ribosomal RNA, 508 nt
Filed under: uncultured Porphyromonadaceae bacterium
Lineage: Bacteria; Pseudomonadati; Bacteroidota; Bacteroidia; Bacteroidales; Porphyromonadaceae
Description: bacterial SSU rRNA
Rfam family: Bacterial small subunit ribosomal RNA
Source: RNAcentral
UUUAGUAUACCUGACGUCUAGGAUGAACGCUAGCGAUAGCUUAACACAUGCAAGUCGAGGGGCAGCAAUUUGUAGCAAUACGAAGUUGGCGACCGGCGCACGGGUGAGUAACGCGUAUGCAACCUACCCGACAACAGAAGGAUAAUACCGGCGAAAGUCGGUCUAAUACUUCAUAAUACAGGGACACGCAUGGUGAUAUUUGUUAAAGAUUAAUUGGUUGCGGAUGGGCAUGCGUGCCAUUAGGUAGUUGGUGAGGUAACGGCUCACCAAGCCGACGAUGGUUAGGGGUUCUGAGAGGAAAAUCCCCCACACUGGUACUGAGACACGGACCAGACUCCUACGGGAGGCAGCAGUGAGGAAUAUUGGUCAAUGGGCGAGAGCCUGAACCAGCCAAGUCGCGUGAAGGAAGACGGCCCUAUGGGUUGUAAACUUCUUUUGCAGGGGAAUAAAGAUAUCCACGUGUGGAUAGUUGUAUGUACCCUGCGAAUAAGCAUCGGCUAACUCCGUG